Molecule: long non-coding RNA, 277 nt
Organism: Sebastes umbrosus (honeycomb rockfish)
Lineage: Eukaryota; Metazoa; Chordata; Actinopteri; Perciformes; Sebastidae
Exons: 3
Source: RefSeq, a predicted model, not a curated record
UUUAUGGACCAAACAACUAAUCGUUUAAUCGAGAAAAUAAUCAACACUGGCCAGCUACACUAUUUUAUCACGCUACCAUUAAAAUCCCUGUUCUUUACAGUCUUGGCUCAGUUUCCUUGAAGAUGAAUCUAUAUCUAUAUCUAUAUUUAUAUAGAUAUAUAUAUAAAUAAUAGGGGUGUAACGAUUCAUCUACUACAUCGAUGUAUCGAUUUAUAUUCCUACGAUCCAACUACAUCGAUAGGCACUCGACAAGUUGUCCUUCACAGGGGAUGUAUAG